RNAcentral lists this ribosomal RNA (232 nucleotides) under uncultured Geobacillus sp. RNAcentral's name for it is "partial 16S ribosomal RNA". It matches the Rfam family "Bacterial small subunit ribosomal RNA", at positions 1151 to 1382 of the family's 1533-position model. The record is from RNAcentral. Lineage: Bacteria; Bacillati; Bacillota; Bacilli; Caryophanales; Anoxybacillaceae.
GCCGGCGACAAGUCGGAGGAAGGUGGGGAUGACGUCAAAUCAUCAUGCCCUUACUGACCUGGGCUACACACGUGCUACAAUGGGCGGUACAAAGGGCUGCGAACCCGCAGGGGGAGCGAAUCCCAAAAAGCCGACUCUCAGUUCGGAUUGCAGGCUGCAACUCGCCUGCAUGAAGCCGGAAUCGCUAGUAAUCGCGGAUCAGCAUGCCGCGGUGAAUACGUUCCCGGGCCUU